GAUGAACGCUGGCGGCGUGCCUAAUACAUGCAAGUCGAGCGAACAGACGAGGAGCUUGCUCCUCUGACGUUAGCGGCGGACGGGUGAGUAACACGUGGAUAACCUACCUAUAAGACUGGGAUAACUUCGGGAAACCGGAGCUAAUACCGGAUAAUAUAUUGAACCGCAUGGUUCAAUAGUGAAAGACGGUUUUGCUGUCACUUAUAGAUGGAUCCGCGCCGCAUUAGCUAGUUGGUAAGGUAACGGCUUACCAAGGCAACGAUGCGUAGCCGACCUGAGAGGGUGAUCGGCCACACUGGAACUGAGACACGGUCCAGACUCCUACGGGAGGCAGCAGUAGGGAAUCGUCCGCAAUGGGCGAAAGCCUGACGGAGCAACGCCGCGUGAGUGAUGAAGGUCUUCGGAUCGUAAAACUCUGUUAUUAGGGAAGAACAAAUGUGUAAGUAACUAUGCACGUCUUGACGGUACCUAAUCAAAGCCACGGCUAACUACGUG
This 495-nucleotide ribosomal RNA is filed under the name uncultured bacterium. RNAcentral describes it as "partial 16S ribosomal RNA". It matches the Rfam family "Bacterial small subunit ribosomal RNA", at positions 28 to 507 of the family's 1533-position model. The record is from RNAcentral.